RNAcentral lists this small nuclear RNA (87 nucleotides) under Salix viminalis (osier). Lineage: Eukaryota; Viridiplantae; Streptophyta; Magnoliopsida; Malpighiales; Salicaceae. The record is from RNAcentral.
CUGUUCUCUCUUUACAGACAUCCACAAAAUUACAGAGAAGAUUAGCAUGGCCCUGCGCAAGGAUGACAAGUGGUCCAUAUUAUUUUU